RNAcentral lists this transfer RNA (74 nucleotides) under Aponsila sp. FS-2019. RNAcentral's name for it is "tRNA-Asn". Lineage: Eukaryota; Metazoa; Arthropoda; Insecta; Hemiptera; Plataspidae. The record is from RNAcentral.
UUAAUUGAAGCCAAAAACAUUUAGAGGCUUUUCAUUGUUAAUGAAAACACUGGUGAUAAUAACACCCAAUUAAA